UACGUAGGGUGCAAGCGUUAAUCGGAAUUAUUGGGCGUAAAGGGUGCGUAGGCGGUUUGGUAAGUCUUGUGUGAAAUCUCCCAGGCUCAACUUGGAGUCUGCACGAGAAACUGCCGGGCUUGAGUGUGGGAGAGGUGAGUGGAAUUCCUGGUGUAGCGGUAGAAAUGCGUAGAUAUCAGGAGGAACACCUGUGGCGAAAGCGGCUCACUGGACCACAACUGACGCUGAUGCACGAAAGCUAGGGGAGCAAACAGG
Molecule: ribosomal RNA, 255 nt
Filed under: uncultured bacterium
Lineage: Bacteria
Description: partial 16S ribosomal RNA
Rfam family: Bacterial small subunit ribosomal RNA
Source: RNAcentral